GCAUGUCUCAGUGCAAGCCGUACGCGCGCGCUAAGUCAAAUUAGCGCGUACUAUAUGAUAAAUAUACACGGUGAAACCGCGAAAGGCUCAUUAAAUCAGUUAUGGUUCCUUAGAUCGUGCCCACGUUACUUGGAUAACUGUGGUAAUUCUAGAGCUAAUACAUGCCGACAGAGUUCUGACCAGCGCCGAGUGGCAGCACGGCCGCGUACGCAUAGAGGCGGGUCGCCGCGCACGCGUGCGUGCACGGGUGUUUGAGAGCGCGUGCGCGCGCGCAUACACUCGCCGUCGGGGGUAAACCUCGGCGAUGGAGAAUGCGCGCGUGUGCGCGCGUUCACACCCGUGUGUCGCGCACGGUCGUUGACGUGGCGCGCUCGACCUUAUCUCGUGUACGUUGGCGCCGUCCGCUGUAUCCACUCUCGGAGUUUGGAAGGAACGCUCUUAUUAGAUCAAAACCGGCCGAGCGGGAUCGUCGUCACAUUCAUUCACCCGGCCCGUCGGCAGAGGCAGUGUGCGGCGGCCGCGUGUGGCCCGUGUACAUCGGGUAAAACUGCGUGCACGGCGAGUCACACGCGUUGCCGGCGCCCGUCUUCUCGGCGGCGGCAGUCGGGGUGUGUGGGUGUCUUCGAUUGUCCGCAAGUGGCCCGCGCAAAGACUUGACGACUCUGAAUAAUUUCUAGCUGAUCGCACGGUCGAGAACGACUCUCUCCAUAUACUACUACUACAACUAUACUCUGUAUCUCGGGCGCGCCCUGGCGCGCGCCCUUUACAUACGCUCUUGUGUGUGUGUGUGUGUGUGAAAAGCACCGGCGACGUAUCUUUCAAAUGUCUGCCUUAUCAACUGUCGACGGUAGGUUCGACGCCUACCGUGGUGGUAACGGGUAACGGGGAAUCAGGGUUCGAUUCCGGAGAGGGAGCCUGAGAAACGGCUACCACAUCCAAGGAAGGCAGCAGGCGCGCAAAUUACCCACUCCCAGCUCGGGGAGGUAGUGACGAAAAAUAACGAUACGGGACUCAUCCGAGGCCCCGUAAUCGGAAUGAGUACACUUUAAAACCUUGGCC
Molecule: ribosomal RNA, 1059 nt
Filed under: Apiomorpha calycina
Lineage: Eukaryota; Metazoa; Arthropoda; Insecta; Hemiptera; Eriococcidae
Description: bacterial SSU rRNA
Rfam family: Eukaryotic small subunit ribosomal RNA
Source: RNAcentral